RNAcentral lists this ribosomal RNA (255 nucleotides) under uncultured bacterium. RNAcentral's name for it is "partial 16S ribosomal RNA". It matches the Rfam family "Bacterial small subunit ribosomal RNA", at positions 524 to 776 of the family's 1533-position model. The record is from RNAcentral.
UACGAAGGGGGGCUAGCGUUGUUCGGAAUUACUGGGCGUAAAGGGCUCGUAGGUGGCCAACUAAGUCAGACGUGAAAUCCCCUCGGCUUAACCGGGGAACUGCGUCUGAUACUGGAUGGCUUGAGUUUGGGAGAGGGACGCGGAAUUCCAGGUGUAGCGGUGAAAUGCGUAGAUAUCAGGAAGAACACCAAUGGCGAAAGCAGCUCUCUGGGACGGUACUGACGCUGAGACGCGAAAGCGUGGGGAGCGAACAGG